This 2774-nucleotide long non-coding RNA is filed under the name Panax ginseng (ginseng). RNAcentral's name for it is "long non-coding RNA (PGIN_LNC018751)". The record is from RNAcentral. Lineage: Eukaryota; Viridiplantae; Streptophyta; Magnoliopsida; Apiales; Araliaceae.
GCAUCAUGCUUCUUACCGAAUAAGAGGCAGUCCAUUAAGAGGCAAUCAGAUGUAAACAAACAGCACCUUAGCCUUUUAUGUUUUGUUUGUUUCAUGCAUAAAAAAAUAUCAGAUAUGAUAAAAAAGUAGAAAGAAAAUUACACCUUUGCGAGAACUGGUGGAAGUAGUUGAUGCAGGGAGGCUGAUAGGGGUCAUGCUAAGGGACAUUUAGAAUCCAAGGGGCUGACUGCAGGGGGAGGGAGCUCAACCAUAUAGGACUAGCUCUCCACCCCCCCAACAUAGUUAGCCAUUGCAAAACAUUAAGUCUCAAACUAUAGUGAUAGAGAGAGGAAGAGAGCUCAUACUAGGAUAAGGAUUGACGAGAACUAUAUAGUUAGCCAUCUUUAAUAUAUUAACUGUCCAUUUAUUUUUUAAUUUGUUUGAUCAUAUAUGGUUGGGGCUGUUGUUGUUGUGUUGUGUUUGGGGACCAUGAAGGGUCCAGAAGUCAUAAGGUUGGGAUAUAUAAAGGAGAACUUGUGCUUUGUAUGUAUAAAUAAAACCAUGUAGUGUGCUUAUAUGGAUUGCACUUACAAUGUUUGAUAUAAUGCUUGAGAGAGAGUUUUUUGGUGCUAUAUGUUAUGUUAACUAUGUAGUCAAACCAAACUUGGGGCCAUAAUUACCUUUCCAGAAAAAAAAACUGCAAGCCGAGGUUAAUACAUAAUAAAAAUGUAAAAGGAUAUAUCUUUUAUUAUUAUAUUUAAAUGUUAAUAAUAGUAAAAUUUCGUAUAUGAUUAGAUUUUAUUGGUAGAAAGAAUAUGACUGUACUAUAACACUAUCAAAGUCAAAAACCUUAUGGAAAUAGGAGUUGAUUAUGGUAAAGGAGAUAAUUGUGGUAGUAGGAAUUAGAGUUGUAAUAGGACACUAACAAAAUCAAAAGCCAUUUUGAAAUAGGAGAUGAAAUAUAAUAAAGAGAUAAUUAUGAGAACGGAAACUAAGUCGUUUUGUGCUUUUUUAUAUGUUAUGUAAUAUAAAUAGAUGUCACAUUUAAUCCAAGUGGUGGAUAACUCAUGGCAGUUGAGACCAAUAUAUGUUGAUCGAUUGGACUUCAGUGACCAUCACUUACUUCAAAUUGAGGUAUAUAUUAUACUUUAUUGGCUUGAAGUUGGUACAAAUUCACAUAUCCAGUUCUAGGUAGGAUAUGAGAAUGCUUUUGUCUGAGGAAUACAUUAUAUGAUUAUAUCUCUUACGAGCAAAAAAAAAAUGAUUCUUCUGGAUUCUUUGUAGCUGAAUUUUUAUUGCAAAUGAUACUUGAUUAUGGAACAACAUUUUAUAUUAAGCAGAUGGAGGAGAAUAUUGUUGCUUUUCCUUUUUUUAUCCCUUUCAUCUCCAACCCUGGCUGUUUUUGUCUUUCUACUGUCAAUAAAUCUAGGAUAUUGAGAUCAAAAUGAGACUCCAAAAACUUCAACUCAAGUUUGCUUCCAAGCCAAUUGUCGUUAUAACUGAAAAUGUUAGUUGGUUUUGAAUAUGUAAUGAAAAUAUGUAUCAAGAAAUUUUGUUUGCCAUUUGGUUCAUACUAAUAUAGGGCAUUUAGCUAUUUUCCUUUGUAAAUGAGAUAAUUUGAUGCACAAUUUAUUCUUGGUGUGCGGCAAGCGUCAACGAAUUGAACAAUAUGUGAAGAGUUGUCGAAGGAAUCCAUCCAUUGAUGUCACUCCAUCUGUUGAAUUUUCAAAAUGACAUUUAAAAAAGGUUGUCCUCUACUUCCUUCUUUGUGACCUCAUCACUUAAAUUUUUAAUUUUUUGGUUCUUCUUUUAUCUAAUUAGUGUGCUCUGUGAUUUGGAAUCCUCACAUUCUCAAAUGUCUCACACGUGUUAUUGGGUAUACAGUCUGGGAAGUAGUUUUAAUAUAUGACAAUGUAAACGAUCAUGGAUUAAGUAUUUCUACUGAAUGUUCUUAUUAAGUAGCAUAGGUAUUUAAACUAUGCUAAUAUUUGGACAUAUGUUGCUAUAAGUAGUAGCUACAUUGUCACCUAAUAUGUUGUGUUAUGCUUUGUUCAUGUUAGGAGCAAGCUUAUUGUUAUUUGCAAGUUUCUGUGCAGCUAACCAAGGAAAGGAAACUACUAGAAAGUUCAUUUCACAUGUUUACAUUAGGCCAACUAUUAGGUAGGUAGUUUUUUUAAAUUUUGAAUAGUUAUGAGCUUGAUGUUUACUGCAUUAUUUACAAGGGAAUGGUUAGAGGUAGAUAUUUUCAAGCUAUUGUGUCAUGUACUGCGUUUCAUACACACAUUACUCAAAAUUACCUCACAAUGUGGCACUGCUAAUUUGAACACUGAUUUUGUUUUCAGGCCAUUGCAAUUGAAGGCUGUUUCUUGAAUGAAGGUUCUAAGCUUGUAGUUUACCCAAAUAUUUUGCUAUAUGCUUGGAUUGAAUAGUUUGAGCAUUGGCUUUCUAAUUGAAUUUUUAAGAGAUUUUUUAAACCUUGGCAUACCCUUUUAUUCUCUUUUUGUUAUGGAUUGUAAAAAGUUAAGUUGAGGCAACCCUUUCUUUACAGUAAAUAAAUUACAAAUGUACGGAAAAAAUAAAUCAGUUGGCUACACUUUGGCCAAGAAAAAUUGAAAAAAAAUAGAAAAAGGGAAGAGUAGAAAAAUGAUUUGUCCACAAGUUGAGGUCACUUAUUUUGCCACCAGCCUAAAAACAAUAAUCAGAUACUUAUAGUGUAAUGCACAUAUCGGUAAACUCUCACCACUACCCUUACAAUGUAUAUUUAUUUGUUUUUUUGUGUAAAAUUUUAUCAUCAC